This 260-nucleotide ribosomal RNA is filed under the name Pseudosinella violenta. RNAcentral's name for it is "partial small subunit 12S ribosomal RNA". Lineage: Eukaryota; Metazoa; Arthropoda; Collembola; Entomobryomorpha; Entomobryidae. The record is from RNAcentral.
UGGCGGUAAAUUAUCUAUUUAGAGGAACCUGCUCUGUAAUCAAUAUUACAUGUUAUUUUUUACUUUAUUUUAUUUUAUAUACCGUUGUAUUAAAAAUUAAUUAAAAAAUUAAUUUUGUUAGUUAAAAUAAAAUGACUUCAAAUCAAGGUUUAGAUUAUAAUAAAGAAGAAGUGGGUUACCCUAGUUAAAAUUGUAGUUUUUGGUGAAAAAGGAUUUAAAUGUAAAAGAUUAAAAAUUUAAUUGACUUUAGCUUCUUAUUU